RNAcentral lists this ribosomal RNA (253 nucleotides) under uncultured bacterium. Its description in RNAcentral is "partial 16S ribosomal RNA". It matches the Rfam family "Bacterial small subunit ribosomal RNA", at positions 524 to 776 of the family's 1533-position model. The record is from RNAcentral.
UACGUAGGGGGCAAGCGUUGUCCGGAAUCAUUGGGCGUAAAGCGCGUGUAGGCGGCUUGGUAAGUCCGCUCUGAAAGCCCGGGGCUCAACCCCGGGAGGCGGGUGGAUACUGCUGGGCUCGAGUCCGGAAGAGGAGUGUGGAAUUCCCAGUGUAGAGGUGAAAUUCGUAGAUAUUGGGAAGAACACCGGUGGCGAAGGCGGCGACCUGGUCCUUGACUGACGCUGAGGCGCGAAAGCGUGGGGAGCAAAACGG